AGAGGUGUAUGGAAGGAAGUAUUUUGGUAACAACUUUGAUCGAUUAGUCAAGAUUAAGACCGCGGUUGAUCCGGAUAAUUUCUUCAGAAAUGAACAGAGUAUACCUACCUUGCCAAGUAAGGCAUAGUGGAAAAAGACUUACCUUUUGUUUUUAUUAUAAAAAUUGAAAAGGUUUGGUUAUUUACUACUAAACCAGUAAUGUUUGGUGAAGGAGAAUAUAAUAGUAUGAUUUGAAAUAUUGAAUACAUAUGUGGAACUCUUUAACAAGAUUCUUUUCAUUAAGUUAGAAAAACUUAAAAAGGGGUUGGUAUUGAUGACAAAAACAAAAGUUCAAAACCGUUGAUUGUUGAGUAUAGCUAUACCUGAUUUUGAAAAUUAUGGCGAAAAUUGUGGAAUUUUGUGUUUGUUUUGAGUUGUUAAACCGUUUAUGAUUCUCGUGACUAAAUCGAUGAAUGAUAGUGUUGACUUGACUAUAGACCAAAUUGGGUUGCAACUGUUAUAUUUUAAAAUAAUUAAUGCAGUAAUCUUUGACAAUUUGGAGAUCAAUGGUUUAGUAUUGUUAAUUGACAUUCAAAUUUAGUUUUCAAAUGGUUUACGUUGUGGAGCUAUACUGAUCAUUUUAGUUCAUCAAUUAAACAUAAAUCUUUUUCUUUUUGAAUUUACAUUAGUCAUCUUCAAAGCUACUUACUCUAAUGUUUGGUAACCAACUGAUAUUUUCUUUCCAACUUUUAAAAUAGAAAACCUUCAAAAUAUAAUUAAUACAAAUAAAAUCUGAUAAUAUAGGAAUUGAACGUUGUCAGUUGACACAAAUACUAAAUUGAUCAAUCCACAACUGAAACAUAUAAAUAUUUAGACUAACAUACAGUAAAUGAAACAGUAGAUUGGGUUUUGAUAACACACGCCUUUUAUUAAACGAACAAUAACUUUAUUAGAAGCAAUAAUAACUAAAAGAGAGGUAAGCUUGUAGGAAAACGAACUUGCAUCCACUGCUUCUCAUACGUAACCAAAUGGCUCCAACCUAAUUCCUCCAGUAAGCCCAGUUUCAGUUCGUAAAGUUUCUUAUUAGCAGUCUCGUUCUCGUUUUGGAUCAACUCAUCAAGUGGAAAAAGACUUACCUUUUGUUUUUAUUAUAAAAAUUGAAAAGGUUUGGUUAUUUACUACUAAACCAGUAAUGUUUGGUGAAGGAGAAUAUAAUAGUAUGAUUUGAAAUAUUGAAUACAUAUGUGGAACUCUUUAACAAGAUUCUUUUCAUUAAGUUAGAAAAACUUAAAAAGGGGUUGGUAUUGAUGACAAAAACAAAAGUUCAAAACCGUUGAUUGUUGAG
RNAcentral lists this long non-coding RNA (1324 nucleotides) under Brassica napus (rape). Its description in RNAcentral is "long non-coding RNA (BNAP_LNC020788)". The record is from RNAcentral. Lineage: Eukaryota; Viridiplantae; Streptophyta; Magnoliopsida; Brassicales; Brassicaceae.